GUUCUUAGCUAAAAACAAAACAACAAGAGAGACCUGAGUUAAAUUCCAAUUUUUAUCAAAUAUAGGACCAGGCUUUAGGCCGGUCCAGGCCUUGGGGCGGAUUAAGUUGUAGGUCAGGUCGGAUCAGGCUUUUUAAAAGGCCAGGUCAGGCCGAAUUUGUUCUAAAAAUUUUUGGUUUGUUGGUAACCUUGCAGGCCGGGCCUGACUGGUCCAGGCUUUGACUAGGUCAGGCUUUGAUCAGGCCAGGUCUAGGUCGGAUCCAGGUCAGGUUGCGGGCCGCGGGCCAUUUGUGCAACCCUAGUGCCAACCAUGUAAUAGUUCUAAAAAGUAAUUGUGACAGACAUAGCAACAGUUAGUAUUAUCGACCGGUUUCACAUGACAGACGGACUAUCCUUCAACUGAUUAAUUAGUUAUAUGUGUACCAUCAAGAAAAUAAUAACAAAUAAAAAAGAUAGAGAAUAAAGAAGAUUUAAAAACAAAUUCAAAAAAAAAUUUAAGAAAAAAUAAAGAAGAAGAGUAAAGCAAAAUAAAAAAAAACAGUAAGUGUAAAAGAAGAAGA
This 559-nucleotide long non-coding RNA is filed under the name Panax ginseng (ginseng). RNAcentral's name for it is "long non-coding RNA (PGIN_LNC000706)". Lineage: Eukaryota; Viridiplantae; Streptophyta; Magnoliopsida; Apiales; Araliaceae. The record is from RNAcentral.